CAGAACGAACGCUGGCGGCAUGCCUAACACAUGCAAGUCGAACGAAGCCUUCGGGCUUAGUGGCGCACGGGUGCGUAACACGUGGGAAUCUGCCCUUCGGUUCGGAAUAACAGUUAGAAAUGACUGCUAAUACCGGAUGAUGACGUAAGUCCAAAGAUUUAUCGCCGAAGGAUGAGCCCGCGUAGGAUUAGGUAGUUGGUAGGGUAAUGGCCUACCAAGCCGACGAUCCUUAGCUGGUCUGAGAGGAUGAUCAGCCACACUGGGACUGAGACACGGCCCAGACUCCUACGGGAGGCAGCAGUGGGGAAUAUUGGACAAUGGGCGAAAGCCUGAUCCAGCAAUGCCGCGUGAGUGAUGAAGGCCUUAGGGUUGUAAAGCUCUUUUACCAGGGAUGAUAAUGACAGUACCUGGAGAAUAAGCUCCGGCUAACUCCGUG
Molecule: ribosomal RNA, 436 nt
Filed under: uncultured bacterium
Lineage: Bacteria
Description: bacterial SSU rRNA
Rfam family: Bacterial small subunit ribosomal RNA
Source: RNAcentral